UUUUCACACCAAAGUACAUUGAUCUCAAGGAGACAGAACACUUCUCCUUCCUGAGCGGUAUGGCAGCUAGUGGUCCCAUGGUGUUUAUACUUGCAUACUAUUGUUUGUACAGAUGAACGUGGUACCUUCAGGUGUUUGGAAAUUGCUCCCAAGGAUGAAUCAGACUUGUGGACGUCUUUUGAUUUUCCCAUGAUGUCAAGCAAAGAGGCACUGAGUUUGAAGGUAGGCCUUGAAAUACAUCCACAGGUACACCUCCAAUUGACACAAAUUAUGUCAAUUCGCCUAUCAGAAGCUUCUAAAGCCAUGACAUAAUUUUCUGGAAUUUUCUAAGCUGUUAAAUGGCACAGUCGACUUAGUGUAUGUAAACUUCUGACCCACUGAAAUUGUGAUACAGUGAAUUAUAAGUUAAAUAAUCUGUAAACAAUUGUUGGAAAAAUUACUUGUGUCAUGCACAAAGUAGAUGUUCUAACUGACUUACUUUGUGAACAAGAAAUUUGUGGAGUGGUUGAAAAACGAGUUUUAAUGACUCCAACCUAAGUGUAUAUGUUGUAUUUUGCAGAUUGUAGUAUACUAUAGUGUUUACUGUAGGUUUUAUGCAGACUGUACUAUACUGUAAAAACAGACAGAGGCACCAGUCUCACCCGUCUGUAAUGUUUUUCCUGUACAUGUGUGAGAGAGUACGUGUGUGAGAGAGCUGCAGGAGAUUAUGACAUCGGAGGCAGGUCUGCCCAUAGACACAGAACCAACUGAUACCUCACUGACUGACCAUGAGGCCAGCCACAGGCUACCCCAUUCACCACAGAACUUCCUUUAAGGCCCGAUUCAGAGCGGAGUUAAUCACUCACAAUUUGGAUUUUGGCAUAAAUCAUUAAUUGACAAGUAUAGUUGUGUUUCAGCACCAGUGGAUCCAACAGUUUAGAGUCAGAUGGACCUCCUCCUCACCUCCAGGCCUUCAACAAGCUGAUGGCUCCUCCAGCAGCACCCAGGAGGGAGCCUCCCAAAUGGAGAGAGAUACUAGUCCCCCCAGAGCCCAGCCUUCCAGAUAAGGUGUCUGUCCUAUACCUGUUCUUCGACACAGAGAGGUGCCACGAAAUCGAAGUCAGAGUAACUGCAGCAACUGAUGGCAGAGUAUGUGAGCAGCAGGAAGCAGUUGACCCUCGGCCCGACCCUCAAUGGGAGAGGGCCACAUUCCUAUACUGCCCCUGCCAGUAUCCAACCG
This 1219-nucleotide long non-coding RNA is filed under the name Oncorhynchus kisutch (coho salmon). Its description in RNAcentral is "lncRNA (ENSOKIG00005045684.1)". Lineage: Eukaryota; Metazoa; Chordata; Actinopteri; Salmoniformes; Salmonidae. The record is from RNAcentral.